RNAcentral lists this ribosomal RNA (484 nucleotides) under uncultured bacterium. RNAcentral describes it as "partial 16S ribosomal RNA". It matches the Rfam family "Bacterial small subunit ribosomal RNA", at positions 30 to 507 of the family's 1533-position model. The record is from RNAcentral.
AUUGAACGCUGGCGGCAGGCCUAACACAUGCAAGUCGAGCGGAUGAAGGGAGCUUGCUCCUGGAUUCAGCGGCGGACGGGUGAGUAAUGCCUAGGAAUCUGCCUGGUAGUGGGGGAUAACGUCCGGAAACGGGCGCUAAUACCGCAUACGUCCUGAGGGAGAAAGUGGGGGAUCUUCGGACCUCACGCUAUCAGAUGAGCCUAGGUCGGAUUAGCUAGUUGGUGGGGUAAAGGCCUACCAAGGCGACGAUCCGUAACUGGUCUGAGAGGAUGAUCAGUCACACUGGAACUGAGACAAGGUCCAGACUCCUACGGGAGGCAGCAGUGGGGAAUAUUGGACAAUGGGCGAAAGACUGAUCCAGCCAUGCCGCGUGUGUGAAGAAGGUCUUCGGAUUGUAAAGCACUUUAAGUUGGGAGGAAGGGCAGUAAGUUAAUACCUUGCUGUUUUGACGUUACCAACAGAAUAAGCACCGGCUAACUUCGUG